AGAGUUUGAUCCUGGCUCAGGACGAACGUUGGCGGCGUGGAUAAGGCAUGCAAGUCGAGCGGCCCUUCGGGGCAGCGGCAAACGGGUUAGUAACACGUGGAUAAUAAACCCCAAAGUUGGGCAUAGCCCGGAGAAAUCCGGGGUAAUUCCCAAUAGUCCUUCUCUGUAUUAGGAGAAAGGUAAAGUUUUUUCGCUUUGGGAUUAGUCCGCGUCCUAUCAGCUUGUUGGUGAGGUAAUGGCUCACCAAGGCUAUGACGGGUAGGGGGCGUGAGAGCGCGACCCCCAACAUUAGCACUGCGACACGGGCUAAACACCUACGGGUGGCUGCAGUCGAGAAUCUUUCGCAAUGGGGGAAACCCUGACGAAGCGACGCCGCAUGCGGGAAGAAGUUCUUCGGAAUGUAAACCGCUUUUAUAGGGGAAGAAUUUUUUGACGGUACCCUAUGAAUAAGAGGGGGCUAAUCACGUGCCAGAAGCAUCGGUAAUACGUGACCCUCAAACGUUAUCCGGAUUUACUGGGCGUAAAGAGUCUUAAGGCUGUUUGGCAAGUUUUGGGUUAAAUCCAUAGGCUCAACCUAUGGCCCGCCUAAAAUACUGCUAGACUAGAGAAUGUCAGAGGUUAGUGGAACGCACGGUGUAGAGGUGGAAUUCGUUGAUAUCGUGCGGAACACCAAAAGCGAAGGCAACUAACUGGGGCAGUUCUGACGCUGAUUGACGAAAGUGUGGGUAGCGAAAAGAAUUAGAUACUCUUGUAGUCCACACUGUAAACGAUGGACACUAGCUAGUGGAAGUAUCGACCCUUUCACUGGCGAAGCUAACGCGUUAAGUGUCCCGCCUGGGAAGUACGCGCGCAAGCGUGAAACUCAAAGGAAUAGACGGGGAGUUACACAAGCGGUGGAACACGUGGCUUAAUUCGACUCUAAGCGAAAACCUUACCAAGACUUGACAUUUUAGUGGAAAGGCCGAGGAAACUUGGCCCCUCGCAAGACCGCUAAAACAGGUGUUGCAUGGUUGUCGUCAGCAUGUGCUGUGAAGUGCUACCUUAAAUGGGUUAACAUGCGCAACCCCUACUCUAUGUUUUAUAUGUCAUAGAGGACUGCCAGGGCUAACCUGGAGGAAGGUGGGGACGACGCCAAAUCAGCAUGGCCCUUACGUCUUGGGCUGCACACGUGUUACAAUGGCUGGUACAAUGGGUUGCUAAACCGCGAGGUGGAGCUAAUCCCACCAAAGCCAGUCUCAGUUCGGAUUGAGGGCUGAAAUUCGCCCUUAUGAAGUUGGAAUCGCUAGUAAUCGCAGAUCAGCUAUGCUGCGAUGAAUAUGUCACUGACUCUUGUACUCACUGCCCGUCAAAUCAGGGAAGCUGGGAGCACCCGAAGCCCGUGCUAGUCGCGGUCUAAGGUGAAUUCAGUGACCAGGAUUAAGUCGUAACAAGGCA
Molecule: ribosomal RNA, 1434 nt
Filed under: metagenome
Description: bacterial SSU rRNA
Rfam family: Bacterial small subunit ribosomal RNA
Source: RNAcentral